This 188-nucleotide ribosomal RNA is filed under the name Vibrio splendidus. RNAcentral describes it as "partial 16S ribosomal RNA". It matches the Rfam family "Bacterial small subunit ribosomal RNA", at positions 1 to 169 of the family's 1533-position model. RNAcentral also lists the same sequence under 1 other name. The record is from RNAcentral. Lineage: Bacteria; Pseudomonadati; Pseudomonadota; Gammaproteobacteria; Vibrionales; Vibrionaceae.
CUUAAAUUGAAGAGUUUGAUCAUGGCUCAGAUUGAACGCUGGCGGCAGGCCUAACACAUGCAAGUCGAGCGGAAACGACACUAACAAUCCUUCGGGUGCGUUAAUGGGCGUCGAGCGGCGGACGGGUGAGUAAUGCCUAGGAAAUUGCCUUGAUGUGGGGGAUAACCAUUGGAAACGAUGGCUAAUAC